GGAUUGUGGCUCAGCGGUAGAGCGCUCACCUAGCAGGUGGGAGGCCCCAGGUUCGAUCCUCAGCACCA
RNAcentral lists this transfer RNA (68 nucleotides) under Marmota monax (woodchuck). RNAcentral's name for it is "tRNA.Ala". Lineage: Eukaryota; Metazoa; Chordata; Mammalia; Rodentia; Sciuridae. The record is from RNAcentral.